Molecule: ribosomal RNA, 392 nt
Filed under: uncultured Gammaproteobacteria bacterium
Lineage: Bacteria; Pseudomonadati; Pseudomonadota; Gammaproteobacteria
Description: bacterial SSU rRNA
Rfam family: Bacterial small subunit ribosomal RNA
Source: RNAcentral
AAUGGGCGCAAGCCUGAUCCAGCCAUGCCGCGUGAGUGAUGAAGGCCCUAGGGUCGUAAAGCUCUUUCGCCAGGGAUGAUAAUGACAGUACCUGGUAAAGAAACCCCGGCUAACUCCGUGCCAGCAGCCGCGGUAAUACGGAGGGGGUUAGCGUUGUUCGGAAUUACUGGGCGUAAAGCGCACGUAGGCGGAUCGGAAAGUUGGGGGUGAAAUCCCGGGGCUCAACCCCGGAACUGCCUCCAAAACUAUCGGUCUAGAGUUCGAGAGAGGUGAGUGGAAUUCCGAGUGUAGAGGUGAAAUUCGUAGAUAUUCGGAGGAACACCAGUGGCGAAGGCGGCUCACUGGCUCGAUACUGACGCUGAGGAGCGAAAGCUAGGGGAGCAAACAGGAUU